GGCAGGAACAUCUUCAGGCUGCGUCUGAGGCAGUCAUUAAUUCUGUGAAAAGUGCAGGGCAUGGUUUAAAAUCCUUUACUUGCCAAGCUUGUGUUAAUGCAUUACAUGAUUAAUAUCUGAAUCUGGAAGGCAGUACCAGGAACAAUUUGCAUUCCACUCUGUAGCUCAACAAAGAGGGAAAAGGGUGAUUUCAGUCUCUUCUUCCUUGCAGAUCUGACUAUGUGACUGCCGUGCAGCUCAGAGGAAGCACCUCCGCUGUCAAAGAGCAGCUCCGAGCUACCAGGGGGUGAAGAGAGCAGCCACGGACGUGCGCAGAUGAAGCACCCGAGACAAGGUUUGCAGUGACAGCUAAACUCUUGACUACGACGAUGGAAGAGCAAACCGAUCGGGGAUUAUACUGAGCAGACAGAAUAAAAAAGAUGGGUGUUAAUCUGUCAUGUCUGAAAGGGCUGCAGGCUUGUUACAGAAGCCGGGAGGAGGUUCCCGCCGCGAUUUCCAACCACCACCUGAAUGUCCCUGAUAUUAUUGUCACACCUCCGACUCCCACCGGGACGCUGAUUGCCAGCGGCAUGGGGCAGGAGUCUCAGAAGGACACAGAUGAUAAAAUCUGUUGCUGAUAACGCCUCUGGGGAACUGAAGACUUUUCAUUAGAUCCGCCAAUCUUACCGUUAACACCAAAGAAUGCAGAGCGCCGUUACUGCCUUACUCCGCGUUCACAGCCGUGCCGGUGCCUUCACCGGGACCACAUGACCAAAAAAACUGAUGUCUUGUGCAUGAAAAGAAAAAUAAAUUACGCCGGACCACUGUGUGUAUGACCCCUUACAGGUAGAUACGGCAUAUUAAAAUAAUUCUAUAUGUGUAUCCGUAACAGCA
Spea bombifrons (plains spadefoot toad) is the source of this 873-nucleotide long non-coding RNA. RefSeq lists it as uncharacterized. The record is from RefSeq and is a predicted model, not a curated record. NCBI's taxonomy places the organism in Eukaryota, Metazoa, Chordata, Amphibia, Anura, Pelobatidae. The transcript is spliced from 3 exons.